RNAcentral lists this ribosomal RNA (477 nucleotides) under uncultured bacterium. Its description in RNAcentral is "partial 16S ribosomal RNA". It matches the Rfam family "Bacterial small subunit ribosomal RNA", at positions 28 to 507 of the family's 1533-position model. The record is from RNAcentral.
GAUUAACGCUGGCGGCGUGCAUAACACAUGCAAGUCGAACGAUGAAACUUAACUGAUUUCUUCGGAAUGAUUUUAAGUGGAUUAGUGGCGGACGGGUGAGUAACGCGUGAGUAACCUGCCUUGGAGAAGGGGAUAGCCUUUGGAAACGAAGAAUAAUACCCUAUGAUAUGAUAAUAUCUCAUGAUAUUAUCAUCAAAGAUUUAUCGCUCUAAGAUGGACUUGCGUCUGAUUAGUUAGUUGGUGAGGUAACAGCUCACCAAGGCAGCGAUCAGUAGCCGGCUUGAGAGAGUGUACGGCCACAUUGGGACUGAGACACGGCCCAGACUCCUCCGGGAGGCAGCAGUGGGGAAUUUUGCACAAUGGGGGAAACCCUGAUGCAGCGACGCCGCGUGAUUUAGAAGGCCUUCGGGUUGUAAAAAUCUUUUGUAUGGGAAGAAAAUGACAGUACCAUACGAAUAAGGACCGGCUAAUUACGUG